RNAcentral lists this ribosomal RNA (843 nucleotides) under Diaporthe sp. RNAcentral describes it as "eukaryotic LSU rRNA". It matches the Rfam family "Eukaryotic large subunit ribosomal RNA", at positions 66 to 941 of the family's 3401-position model. Lineage: Eukaryota; Fungi; Ascomycota; Sordariomycetes; Diaporthales; Diaporthaceae. The record is from RNAcentral.
CAACAGGGAUUGCCCUAGUAACGGCGAGUGAAGCGGCAACAGCUCAAAUUUGAAAUCUGGCUUCGGCCCGAGUUGUAAUUUGCAGAGGAUGCUUCUGGCGCGGUGCCUUCCGAGUUCCCUGGAACGGGACGCCACAGAGGGUGAGAGCCCCGUAUGGUCGGACACCAAGCCUGUGUGAAGCUCCUUCGACGAGUCGAGUAGUUUGGGAAUGCUGCUCUAAAUGGGAGGUAAAUCUCUUCUAAAGCUAAAUACCGGCCAGAGACCGAUAGCGCACAAGUAGAGUGAUCGAAAGAUGAAAAGCACCUUGAAAAGGGGGUUAAAUAGUACGUGAAAUUGUUGAAAGGGAAGCACUUAUGACCAGACUUGGGCCGGGCGGCUCAUCAGGGGUUCUCCCCUGUGCACUCCGCCCGGCACAGGCCAGCAUCGGUUUUCGCGGGGGGAUAAGACCGUCGGGAACGUAGCACCCUCCGGGGUGUGUUAUAGCCCGGCGGACGAUACCCUCGCGGGGACCGAGGUUCGCGCUCCGCAAGGAUGCUGGCGUAAUGGUCAUCAGUGACCCGUCUUGAAACACGGACCAAGGAGUCGUCCAUUAGAGCGAGCGUUUGGGUGUAAAACCCGCACGCGUAAUGAAAGUGAACGCAGGUGAGAGCUUCGGCGCAUCAUCGACCGAUCCUGAUGUUCUCGGAAGGAUUUGAGUAAGAGUUUUAACGGACGGACCCGAAAGACAGUGAACUAUGCUUGUAUAGGGUGAAGCCAGAGGAAACUCUGGUGGAGGCUCGCAGCGGUUCUGACGUGCAAAUCGAUCGUCAAAUAUGAGCAUGGGGGCGAAAGACUAAUCGAACU